GACGAACGCUGGCGGCGUGCCUAAUACAUGCAAGUCGAGCGGAACUGGGGGAGCUUGCUCCUUCCAGUUUAGCGGCGGACGGGUGAGUAACACGUGGGCAACCUGCCCUGCAGAUCGGGAUAACUCCGGGAAACCGGUGCUAAUACCGAAUAGUUUGGCGCCUCUCCUGAGGCGCUACGGAAAGACGGUUUCGGCUGUCACUGCAGGCUGGGCCCGCGGCGCAUUAGCUAGUUGGUGGGGUAACGGCCCAACAAGGCGACGAUGCGUAGCCGACCUGAGAGGGUGACCGGCCACACUGGGACUGAGACACGGCCCAGACUCCUACGGGAGGCAGCAGUAGGGAAUCUUCCGCAAUGGACGCAAGUCUGACGGAGCAACGCCGCGUGAGUGACGAAGGUUUUCGGAUCGUAAAACUCUGUUGUGAGGGAAGAACACGUACCAACUAACUAUUGGUACCUUGACGGUACCUCACCAGAAAGCCACGGCUAACUACGUGCCAGCCGCCGCAGUAA
This 512-nucleotide ribosomal RNA is filed under the name uncultured bacterium. Its description in RNAcentral is "partial 16S ribosomal RNA". It matches the Rfam family "Bacterial small subunit ribosomal RNA", at positions 28 to 523 of the family's 1533-position model. The record is from RNAcentral.